RNAcentral lists this ribosomal RNA (468 nucleotides) under Ceriodaphnia reticulata. RNAcentral describes it as "partial 16S ribosomal RNA". It matches the Rfam family "Bacterial large subunit ribosomal RNA", at positions 1915 to 2601 of the family's 2925-position model. The record is from RNAcentral. Lineage: Eukaryota; Metazoa; Arthropoda; Branchiopoda; Diplostraca; Daphniidae.
UGCUUUUAGUAAAUAGCCGCAGUAUUUUGACUGUGCUAAGGUAGCAUAAUCAUUAGUCUUUUGAUUGAAGGCUGGUAUGAAUGGCGGAACGAGAAAAUAACUGUCUCUAAUAGAGAUAUUGAAUUUCAUUUCUAAGUGAAAAAGCUUAGAUUAUUUUGAAGGACGAUCAGACCCUUUGGAGCUUUAUCUGUAAAUUACUUUAUCUUAAUUUAUUAUAAGGAAACUAUUUAAUGGAUUUUGUUGGGGCGACAGGGAGUUAAAAAUAACACUCUUUUUAUUAAACAUAUUUAGAUGAAGAAUUGAUCCUUUAAGGGAGAUUAAAAGACUAAGUUACCCUAGGGAUAACAGCGUAAUCUUUUUGGAGAGUUCAUAUCGAUAAAAAGGUUUGCGACCUCGAUGUUGGAUUAAGAAAUUAGCAAGGUGCAGAAGUUUUGCUGGAGAGUCUGUUCGACUUUUAAUAUCUUACAU